RNAcentral lists this long non-coding RNA (822 nucleotides) under Bos taurus (domestic cattle). RNAcentral's name for it is "long non-coding RNA NONBTAT004221". The record is from RNAcentral. Lineage: Eukaryota; Metazoa; Chordata; Mammalia; Artiodactyla; Bovidae.
ACCUUCAUUUUAGGCACAUUACACAUACACACACACACGUUAUUUAGCAAUUUCCCCAACACAGGAUUAUUCCUGUUAAACUGAUGAUUGGUCUCCCGCCUGGUUUUGGACUUUGUACAGGUCUUUAACCUUCAGGACAUCUCUAUUUCAGACUUUUGCUUCUCUCUCUACAGCUCUAGAAACAGCUGUCCUUUAUGUUCCUCAGACGUUUGGAGGGUCGGUGUAGGAGGACUUGCCUGGGAUAGAGGACACAUCGGGGCUUGACUGAACAGACACAUGAAGAGCUAUUUCAGACUUGCCAGCAUCCUGGCAGAGUAAGGUAUAGACACUGCAUUUUAGGAGAAUAUUGCUAGUCAGUGUAUUAGUUUUUUCUAUUAAAGGCAAUUCUCAACCAUUUAAGAAUUAACUGCUUACUCAACAGCUCUAAAUCUUAUUCUGGCCAUUCGCUCUUUUAGAGAAAUAUUUAGAGUGAUGACUGGAUGCCACUGUACAUGUCAGAUGCUGAGAAAGUGCAAUCCCCCUCUAAAUAGAAAAGUUACCUUUUUACUUUUUGCUAUAAAUAAAGAGCCCAGACUGGUUUUUUUCUUUCCAUUGAAGUAAACCGUCAUGUCUAGUUUGGUGAAUUUAAAACAAAUGGAAAACCUCACAAGCUCCUAAUGAAUUUGUCUACUAAAAUUUUUAAAAAGUAGAUAAUGGAAGAAACUUGUAGUUUAUGUUAAGUUUCUGAAACUAUAACCUGUUUAUAUAGUACUAGCUAGCAUAAAGACAUACCUCAAUGAAUUCCCAAUCAACAUACUUGGGAUUAAAUUACUGAGUUUCAUC